This 388-nucleotide ribosomal RNA is filed under the name uncultured Acetivibrio sp. RNAcentral describes it as "bacterial SSU rRNA". It matches the Rfam family "Bacterial small subunit ribosomal RNA", at positions 355 to 760 of the family's 1533-position model. The record is from RNAcentral. Lineage: Bacteria; Bacillati; Bacillota; Clostridia; Acetivibrionales; Acetivibrionaceae.
UGGGGGAUAUUGCGCAAUGGGGGAAACCCUGACGCAGCAACGCCGCGUGAAGGAUGAAGGUUUUCGGAUUGUAAACUUCUUUAAGUGUGGAAGAAGAUGACGGUACACACAGAAUAAGCCACGGCUAACUACGUGCCAGCAGCCGCGGUAAUACGUAGGUGGCGAGCGUUGUCCGGAUUUACUGGGUGUAAAGGGCGUGUAGGCGGGUUGUCAAGUCAGAUGUGAAAUACCGGGGCUUAACUCCGGGGCUGCAUUUGAAACUGACAGUCUUGAGUGCUGGAGAGGAAAGCGGAAUUCCUAGUGUAGCGGUGAAAUGCGUAGAUAUUAGGAGGAACACCAGUGGCGAAGGCGGCUUUCUGGACGGUAACUGACGCUGAGGCGCGAAAGC